This 465-nucleotide ribosomal RNA is filed under the name uncultured bacterium. Its description in RNAcentral is "partial 16S ribosomal RNA". It matches the Rfam family "Bacterial small subunit ribosomal RNA", at positions 28 to 507 of the family's 1533-position model. The record is from RNAcentral.
GAUGAACGCUGGCGGCGUGCUUAACACAUGCAAGUCGAACGAUGAAGCCCAGCUUGCUGGGUGGAUUAGUGGCGAACGGGUGAGUAACACGUGAGUAACCUGCCCUUGACGCUAGGAUAAGCCCGGAAAACUGGGUCUAAUACUGGAUAGGAACGUCUACCGCACGGUGGGUGGUGGAAAGAAUGUCGGUCAUGGAUGGACUCGCGGCCUAUCAGAUUGUUGGUGGGGUAAUGGCUCACCAAGGCGACGACGGGUAGCCGGCCUGAGAGGGUGACCGGCCACCAUGGGACUGAGACACGGCCCAGACUCCUACGGGAGGCAGCAGUGGGGAAUAUUGCACCAUGGGCGAAAGCCUGAUGCAGCGACGACGCGUGAGGGAUGAAGGACUUCGGGUUGUAGACCUCUUUCAGUAGGGAAGAAGCGAAAGUGACGGUACCUGCAGAAGAAGCACCGGCUAACUACGUG